This 468-nucleotide ribosomal RNA is filed under the name uncultured bacterium. Its description in RNAcentral is "partial 16S ribosomal RNA". It matches the Rfam family "Bacterial small subunit ribosomal RNA", at positions 28 to 507 of the family's 1533-position model. The record is from RNAcentral.
GACGAACGCUGGCGGCGUGCCUAAUACAUGCAAGUCGAACGGAAAGGCCCUGCGUUUGCGGGUUGCACGAGUGCCGAACGGGUGAGUAACACGUGAGUAACCUGCACUUGUCUUUGGGGUAAAUUCAGGAAACUGGGGCUAAUACCGGAUAGGAUCUCCUGCUGCACGGUGGGGGUUGGAAAGUUUCGGCGGUGGGGGAUGGUCUCGCGGCUUAUCAGCUUGUUGGUGUGGUAGUGGCUUACCAAGGGUUUGACGGGUAGCCGGCCUGAGAGGGGGGACGGCCACAUGGGGACUGCGGGACGGCCCAGUCUGCUACGGGAGGCAGCGGGCGAGAGUAUUGCACAGUGGGCGGAAGCCAGAUGCAGCAGCGCCGCGUGCGGGAUGACGGCCUACGGGUUAUAAACCGCUGUCGCCUGUGACAAAGCGUGAGUGACGGUAAUGGGUAAAGAAGCACCGGCUAACUACGUG